UAAUAAUAAUAAUAAUAAUAACAGGAGAAAUACCACAACUAGAGUAAUUUCAGGUUAAAGAUGUGACCAACCUAGCUAUGGGUUUCAAGCUACAUCACUAGCGAUAAUGAGCUCCAGCAUUGUUGUAAACACGGCCCUUACGGUAUGGAACCCUUCUUUUAGUUCCUGGAUUCCUUCUACGCCCAACAAACUGAGGUGGGGCCCUGUAUGAUCCAAACUGAUUAGUUGUGUAAGCUCGACGUACGUUUGUAGAACCUGUAGCUGGCGCACCACUAUUGCUGCCAACGCCCGUGUUUGAGAAGUGGCUCAUUCCGGCUUGCUGAUACUGAUUCAAUCGUGCCUGUGAUUCCUUUCGAAGAAAUACUUUUCUUUGAUUUGCUUGUUGAGUGCGUAGUUCUGAUAGUUUGUCCUGGUACCAAUAAUUGAUCUCAAUUAUUUUCUCCCUAUGCCUAGUAUUUUCUGCAUCUUCUGCAUCAAUUUGUUCCUGUCCCAAUCUCGUUAUUUCAUCAAGGAACUUCUGUUCAAGACCUUCAAAAGUCGGUGGUAAUGUGCUGUCCUCAUAGCCGAUCUCCAUAUCUUGUUCAUAAGGCUGGGUGCUACCGUCCUUGGCUGGAUUUUCUGAUCCUAGUUUAGGUCCAGGUGCCUGACCCUGGAAAAAAGAUCUUGCACUAUUUCUCCCUUGACCUGCAUCACCACACCACAGAAAUAUGAGUAUAACUUAUAGAACUAAUGGCACAUUUUAACAGAAAAUACAAUAAUUUAUCCUUGCAAAGCCACCAACUUUGUUGAGCCUUGUAAAAUCAAUUCAGACCAGAAAUGCAUAUGAAUUGUGAAGGCUUUUCAACCUUCCUAUUUUGCUAAAAUGAUAAAAGGGUCUGAGAUAAGUAUGGAUGAAUUAUUUGAACCAUAGUUACCUAGAAAACUGUACAUCUUGGGCUGUCGUAUGGGUAUGGGCACAAGUACACAGAAUGCCACUUUGCUGGAUAUAGGAUGCAUAAGGAGUAUGCUUAGUUAAUACACCAAUUCGGAAUGCCGUACAUUAAUUAUAUCAAUUCGAAAUGCGUUACGUGAAUUACACUUAACUAGUCUAAUCACCAAGUCUAAAAACACCGAAUCAAAUAAUAAUUUCCUUUCAUUUUUUCGUUAAAAAAAUUAUGAAUACAUUUCACAUAAUUAAUUUUAAUAAAAAAGACUAAAAAAAGUUUUAUUUAGACUCUGGGAUAUAAAGUCAACAAAUUAGGCAACUAAAAAUUUUCUAAUUAUUUUAAACUUUUAACAAAUUUGUAAAUAUAUUAAUUGGCCCCCAACCCAAUAAAUUAAUCAAUUUCUUUUUGAUAAAAUCUAGCAUUUACUUUCAAAAAAUUAUAGUAGAAACAGCCACAAGCAGUAGCACCACCUACCCCCUUCCCCAUAAUAAAUAAUAAAUAAUCAAUAAAUCUCACCAAAUCUCACCUAAAUUUAAUUUAAUCAGAGUACAUUCUAUCUCUUUUUUUUUUUUUGGGGUGUUUUUAGGCUUUUCCUGUCAUUUCCCUUAUCAAAACUUCAUUAUCCUUUCACCCUUUCUGACUAGCAUUAAACAUACUUGCUGAAUGAAAUUGAAAAAAAGAACUGGAAUGCCAGUUUUAAUGAUCCAGAAUGCUGACGUACCACAUUCUGGGACGAGCAUUCCAGGUUAUGGUUUUAAAGAGGGGGGCAGUCCUAUAUCUAUAAUUUGAGCUAUUUGCUAUUAUAUCAAUCCACAAAAUUCAUAAUAUAUUUAACUUCUCUUCACAAUUUUAACUCUCAUUAAAUAUGCAACAAAUUUUACACCCUAAUUUGAAAAUUCGCACAUUAAAAGCUCAGGAUUGCUUAUGUUUUUUUACUAUUGUAUGGUUCUUGAAUGCAAACGCCAAAAAAAAAAAAAAAUCAGACUGGUCUGUAGCUAAUAUUUCCAAGGCAAAUGGAUCAAAGUGCUUUGAUACCAAAUUGAUGUAGAACCAAGAACAAUUAAAGUCGGUUCUUUCCAGAGGCUCUUCAUGAUUUCUUAUCUCGAUGAGGGGAUACUUGUAAGUAUUCUACUCUGUGUAUAUUGGGAAUCAAUUCAUAGUUGUACACAUUGUGGCCCUUAAAUUCUUACCUUAGUGGUCUCAUUGCAGGAUUGGGUAAACAUUAUACACAAAAUUAUCUGUGAUCUGGAUUUUGUUGUAUCAACACUUCUGGAAUAGUAUUUUCAUUUAUUGUUGAAGGAAUUAGAGAAGAAACUCUCAAGCAUAAUUGUGACCUUUUUCCUUUGUGAUUGUGCACAAGGCAACUCUAGGAAAUUCUAGAAUCCUAAUAUAUUUAUUUGGGAUGCCAUCAUGAGCUGAAAAUUCUGGAAUCCUAACAAAUUUAAGUAAAAUCACUUAUCUCUUCUGAGCUUUUUUUCCUGAGCAUUUUGAUUUCACCUAUUGUGUAGGUAGGUAGGAAUAUUAAAAUUGAUCCAUUAGCCUUGAUCUUUUAUGAGCUUCUCUCUUCUCUUGAGACCAUGGUAGAUCUCCUCAUAACAUAAUUGUGUAAGUAUAAUCACUUUAAUCCCUCUUUAAAUAUUAAGGGAUGCUUACGUGGAAACAUGAGCCGCAUGCCUUAUCAUCCAUUUGCCAAGGGAUAAUCAUGAAGAUUUAGUUGCUUGCUUUAAGACUGACAUGUAGGAAUAGCAACGGAAGGGCCAAACCUAAUCACAUCCUGAAUUCUUGUCCUGUUUCCUGACACAGAUAAUAAGGGAUACUGCUGGAGUGCCUGAAG
RNAcentral lists this unclassified non-coding RNA (2760 nucleotides) under Hevea brasiliensis (rubber tree). Lineage: Eukaryota; Viridiplantae; Streptophyta; Magnoliopsida; Malpighiales; Euphorbiaceae. The record is from RNAcentral.